UACGGAAGGGGCGAGCGUUGUUCGGAAUCAUUGGGCGUAAAGGGCGCGUAGGUGGUUCUGUAUGUGUACCGUGAAAGCGUACGGCUCAACCGUAUUUUGUCGGUAGAAACUGCAGGACUUGAGGCUGGGAGGGGCUGGUGGAAUUCCCUGUGUAGCGGUGAAAUGCGUAGAGAUGGGGGAGAACACUCGUGGCGAAGGCGGCCAGCUAGACCAGUUCUGACACUGAGGCGCGACAGCGUGGGGAGCAAACAGG
RNAcentral lists this ribosomal RNA (253 nucleotides) under uncultured bacterium. RNAcentral's name for it is "partial 16S ribosomal RNA". It matches the Rfam family "Bacterial small subunit ribosomal RNA", at positions 524 to 776 of the family's 1533-position model. The record is from RNAcentral.